GCGUGAGUGAAGAAGGCCUUAGGGUUGUAAAGCUCUUUCACCCACGAAGAUGAUGACGGUAGUGGGAGAAGAAGCCCCGGCUAACUCCGUGCCAGCAGCCGCGGUAAUACGGAGGGGGCGAGCGUUGUUCGGAAUUACUGGGCGUAAAGGGCGCGUAGGCGGAACGUCAAGUCAGGGGUGAAAGGCCUGGGCUCAACCCGGGAACUGCCCUUGAAACUGGCGAUCUUGAGUCCGGGAGAGGAUGGCGGAAUUCCCAGUGUAGAGGUGAAAUUCGU
RNAcentral lists this ribosomal RNA (275 nucleotides) under uncultured bacterium. Its description in RNAcentral is "partial 16S ribosomal RNA". It matches the Rfam family "Bacterial small subunit ribosomal RNA", at positions 399 to 691 of the family's 1533-position model. The record is from RNAcentral.